UCCUGGCUUAGGACGAACGCUGGCGGCGUGCCUAAUACAUGCAAGUCGAACGGUCUUUCUAUGGAAGCUUGCUUCCACUGAGAAGAUAGUGGCGAACGGGUGAGUAACACGUGGGUAACCUGCCCAUAAGAGGGGGGAUAACAUCCGGAAACGGGUGCUAAUACCGCAUAGUUUUCUUGAUCGCAUGAUCGGGAAAGGAAAGACGGCCUUUGUGCUGUCGCUUAUGGAUGGACCCGCGGCGUAUUAGUUAGUUGGUGAGGUAACGGCUCACCAAGACGAUGAUACGUAGCCGACCUGAGAGGUGAUCGGCCACAUUGGGACUGAGACACGGCCCAAACUCCUACGGGAGGCAGCAGUAGGGAAUCUUCCGCAAUGGACGAAAGUCUGACGGAGCAACGCCGCGUGAGUGAAAGAAGGUUUUCGGAUCGUAAAACUCUGUUGUCAGAGAAGAACAAGUUGGAGAGUAACUGCUCCAGCCUUGACGGUAUCUGACCAGAAAGCCACGGCUAACUACGUGCCAGCCGCCGC
This 528-nucleotide ribosomal RNA is filed under the name uncultured bacterium. RNAcentral's name for it is "bacterial SSU rRNA". It matches the Rfam family "Bacterial small subunit ribosomal RNA", at positions 17 to 518 of the family's 1533-position model. The record is from RNAcentral.